GAUGAACGCUGGCGGCGUGCCUAAUACAUGCAAGUCGAGCGAACAGACGAGGAGCUUGCUCCUCUGACGUUAGCGGCGGACGGGUGAGUAACACGUGUAUAACCUACCUAUAAGACUGGGAUAACUUCGGGAAACCGGAUCUAAUACCGGAUAAUAUAUUGAACCGCAGUGUUCAAUAGUGAAAUGCGGUGUUUCUGUCACGUAUAGAUGGAUCCGCGCCGCAUUAGCUAGUUGUUAAGUUAACGGCUUACCAAGGCAACGAUGCGUAGCCGACCUGAGAGGGUGAUCGGCCACACUGGAACUGAGACACGGUCCAGACUCCUACGGGAGGCAGCAGUAGGGAAUCUUCCGCAGUGGGCGAAAGCCUGACGGAGCAACGCCGCGUGAGUGAUGAAGGUCUUCGGAUCGUAAAACUCUGUUAUUAGGGAAGAACAAAUGUGUAAGUAAAUAUGCACGUAUUGACGGUACCUAAUCAGAAAGCCACGGCUAACUACGUG
This 497-nucleotide ribosomal RNA is filed under the name uncultured bacterium. RNAcentral's name for it is "partial 16S ribosomal RNA". It matches the Rfam family "Bacterial small subunit ribosomal RNA", at positions 28 to 507 of the family's 1533-position model. The record is from RNAcentral.